AUGGCUUCUCAGCUUUUGGCUAAAAUCAAGUGUAGCAUGUGUUCUUACCAGUUUAACAUCUGGUGUAUCCUCUAUCUAACAACAAUAAAGUCAAUGAAUUUUUAUUUAAAGAGGGAGAAAGAUUAAGAGCCUUCUCCAUCUACCCUAUACAUCCACCUGGUAUUAGAAUGCCUCCCAGAGUGUACCAAAU
Onychomys torridus (southern grasshopper mouse) is the source of this 190-nucleotide small nuclear RNA. RefSeq annotates it as U2 spliceosomal RNA. Lineage: Eukaryota; Metazoa; Chordata; Mammalia; Rodentia; Cricetidae. The record is from RefSeq and is a predicted model, not a curated record. The transcript has a single exon.